Molecule: ribosomal RNA, 236 nt
Filed under: uncultured Eubacteriales bacterium
Lineage: Bacteria; Bacillati; Bacillota; Clostridia; Eubacteriales
Description: uncultured Clostridiales bacterium partial 16S ribosomal RNA
Rfam family: Bacterial small subunit ribosomal RNA
Source: RNAcentral
CGAACGGGUGAGUAACGCGUGAGCAACCUGCCUAUGACAGUGGGAUAGCCUCGGGAAACCGGGAUUAAUACCGCAUAAAAUCGUAGAAACACAUGUUUUAACGGUCAAAGAUUUUAUCGGUCAUAGAUGGGCUCGCGUCUGAUUAGCUAGUUGGUGAGAUAACAGCCCACCAAGGCGACGAUCAGUAGCCGGUCUGAGAGGAUGAACGGCCACAUUGGAACUGAGACACGGUCCAA